RNAcentral lists this ribosomal RNA (482 nucleotides) under uncultured bacterium. RNAcentral describes it as "partial 16S ribosomal RNA". It matches the Rfam family "Bacterial small subunit ribosomal RNA", at positions 29 to 507 of the family's 1533-position model. The record is from RNAcentral.
AUGAACGCUGGCGGCGUGCCUAACACAUGCAAGUCGAACGGAGUCGUUUUGGAAAUCUCUUCGGAGAUGGAAUUCUCGACUUAGUGGCGGACGGGUGAGUAACGCGUGAGCAAUCUGCCUUUAAGAGGGGGAUAACAGUCGGAAACGGCUGCUAAUACCGCAUAAAGCAUUAAAUUCGCAUGUUUUUGAUGCCAAAGGAGCAAUCCGCUUUUAGAUGAGCUCGCGUCUGAUUAGCUAGUUGGCGGGGUAACGGCCCACCAAGGCGACGAUCAGUAGCCGGACUGAGAGGUUGAACGGCCACAUUGGGACUGAGACACGGCCCAGACUCCUACGGGAGGCAGCAGAGGGGAAUAUUGCGCAAUGGGGGAAUCCCUGACGCAGCAACGCCGCGUGAUUGAAGAAGGACUUCGGGUUGUAAAGAUCUUAAAUCAGGGACGAAGCAAAUGACGGUACCUGAAGAAUAAGCUCCGGCUAACUACGUG